This is a non-coding RNA of Chlorocebus sabaeus (green monkey), 6051 nucleotides long. The record is from RefSeq and is a predicted model, not a curated record. Lineage: Eukaryota; Metazoa; Chordata; Mammalia; Primates; Cercopithecidae.
CAGGGGCCGGGCCAGGGCCGCGCGGGGGGCGAGCGCGGCUGCGGACCGGGCGGGACCGCAGCCGGAGCCUAGCCGGGACUGUCGCGCGGGCCGCGCCGGCGAUGCCGCGCCCCCGGGCCGGGCUGUAGCGGGGCCGCGGCUGGAGUGCGCGCCGGGCAGGCGGGACAUGGAGGUGGUGGACGAAACGGAGGCGCUGCAGCGCUUCUUCGAAGGCCACGACAUCAACGGUGCCCUGGAGCCCUCCAACAUAGACACCAGCAUCCUGGAGGAGUACAUCAGCAAGGAGGAUGCCUCCGACCUCUGCUUCCCUGACAUCUCUGCUCCAGCCAGCUCGGCCUCCUACUCUCACGGGCAGCCUGCGAUGCCCGGCUCCAGCGGGGUUCACCACCUGAGCCCCCCUGGGGGUGGACCCUCCCCGGGACGCCAUGGUCCCCUCCCACCCCCGAGCUACGGCCCCCCGCUGAACUGCAACAACAACAACGGCAUGGGCGCUGCCCCCAAGCCCUUCCCGGGGGGCGCCGGGCCCCCCAUCAAGGCCGAGCCCAAGGCUCCCUAUGCCCCAGGCACACUGCCGGACUCUCCCCCAGACUCGGGCUCCGAGGCCUACUCCCCCCAGCAGGUGAAUGAACCCCAUCUCCUGCGCACGAUAACCCCUGAGACGUUGUGCCACGUGGGAGUGCCCUCCCGCCUGGAGCAUCCGCCCCCACCUCCAGCCCACUUGCCAGGCCCCCCGCCACCCCCACCACCUCCACCUCACUACCCUGUCCUGCAGCGGGACCUGUACAUGAAGGCCGAGCCCCCGGUCCCCCCCUACGCUGCCAUGGGGCAGGGGCUGGUGCCCACUGAUCUCCACCACACCCAGCAGUCCCAGAUGCUGCACCAGCUCCUGCAGCAGCACGGAGCUGAGCUCCCCACACACCCCUCCAAGAAGAGGAAGCACUCCGAAUCCCCCCCCAGCACCCUCAAUGCCCAGAUGCUGAAUGGAAUGAUCAAACAGGAGCCCGGGACGGUGACAGCCCUGCCUCUGCACCCCACUCGAGCCCCAUCCCCACCCUGGCCUCCCCAGGGUCCGCUCUCCCCGGGCCCUGGUUCUUUGCCUCUCAGCAUUGCCCGUGUCCAGACACCGCCUUGGCACCCACCAGGUGCCUCCUCCCCAGGCCUCCUGCAGGACAGUGACAGCCUCAGUGGCUCCUACCUGGACCCCAACUACCAGUCCAUCAAGUGGCAGCCCCAUCAGCAGAACAAGUGGGCGACCCUGUACGACGCUAACUACAAGGAGCUGCCCAUGCUCACCUACCGUGUGGACGCGGACAAGGGCUUCAACUUUUCGGUGGGCGAUGAUGCCUUUGUGUGCCAGAAGAAGAACCACUUCCAGGUGACGGUGUACAUCGGCAUGCUGGGCGAGCCCAAGUUUGUCAAGACGCCUGAGGGCCUCAAGCCCCUCGACUGCUUCUAUCUGAAGCUGCAUGGAGUGAAGCUGGAGGCCCUGAACCAGUCCAUUAACAUCGAGCAGUCCCAGUCAGACCGGAGCAAGCGGCCCUUCAACCCGGUCACGGUCAAUCUGCCCCCUGAGCAGGUCACGAAGGUGACUGUGGGGCGGCUGCACUUCAGCGAGACCACCGCUAACAACAUGCGUAAGAAGGGCAAGCCCAACCCUGACCAGAGGUACUUCAUGCUGGUGGUGGCCCUCCAGGCCCACGCACAGAACCAGAACUACACGCUGGCUGCCCAGAUCUCAGAGCGCAUCAUCGUGCGGGCCUCCAACCCAGGCCAGUUCGAGAGCGACAGCGAUGUGUUGUGGCAGCGAGCACAGGUGCCCGACACCGUCUUCCACCACGGCCGCGUGGGCAUCAACACAGACCGGCCGGACGAGGCGCUGGUUGUGCACGGGAAUGUCAAGGUCAUGGGCUCGCUUAUGCACCCCUCCGACCUGCGCGCCAAGGAACACGUGCAGGAGGUGGACACCACCGAGCAAUUGAAGAGGAUCUCGCGCAUGCGGCUGGUGCACUACAGAUACAAGCCCGAGUUCGCCGCCAGCGCAGGCAUCGAGGCCACUGCGCCAGAGACAGGUGUCAUCGCUCAGGAGGUGAAGGAGAUCUUGCCUGAGGCUGUGAAAGACACUGGAGACAUGGUCUUUGCCAAUGGGAAAACCAUAGAGAACUUCCUGGUGGUGAACAAGGAGCGCAUCUUCAUGGAGAACGUGGGGGCUGUGAAGGAGUUGUGCAAGCUGACGGACAACCUGGAGACGCGCAUUGAUGAGCUGGAGCGCUGGAGCCACAAGCUGGCCAAGCUGCGGCGGCUCGACAGCCUCAAAUCCACCGGCAGCUCGGGCGCCUUCAGUCAUGCAGGGAGCCAGUUCAGCCGGGCAGGCAGUGUCCCCCACAAGAAGAGGCCCCCCAAGGUGGCCAGCAAGUCAUCGUCCGUGGCUCCGGACCAGGCCUGCAUCAGCCAGCGCUUCCUGCAGGGAACCAUCAUUGCCCUGGUGGUGGUCAUGGCCUUCAGCGUGGUGUCCAUGUCCACACUGUACGUGCUGAGCCUGCGCACAGAGGAGGACCUGGUAGACACUGACGGCUCUUUUGCCGUGUCCACUUCCUGUCUCCUGGCCCUGCUCCGGCCCCAGCCCCCUGGGGGGAGUGAGGCCUUGUGCCCAUGCAGGUCCAGCCAGAGCUUUGGGACCACGCAGCUCCGACAGUCCCCCAUAACCACUGGGCUACCAGGCAUACAGCCCACUUUGCUGCUGGUGACCACCAGCCUCACCAGCUCGGCCCCAGGUUCUGCUGUCCGCACCCUGGACCUAUGUUCCAGCCACCCCUGCCCUGUCGUCUGCUGUUCCUCACCCACCACCAACCCUACCACUGGUCCUAGUCUUGGCCCCAGCUUUAACCCUGGCCAUGUUCUCAGCCCAAGUCCCAGCCCCAGCACCAACCGUUCAGGCCCCAGCCAGAUGGCCCUUCUGCCAGUCACCAACAUCAGAGCCAAGUCCUGGGGUCUUUCAGUCAAUGGCAUUGGCCACUCCAAGCAUCACAAGAGCCUGGAGCCUCUGGCCAGCCCUGCAGUCCCCUUCCCUGGGGGGCAGGGCAAAGCCAAGAACAGCCCCAGCCUUGGUUUCCACGGCCGGGCCCGCCGAGGGGCCCCCGAGUCCAGCAUGGGCCCUGCUCAGCCCACCUGGGCCCAGGGCCAGUCAGUCCUCACAGCACUCCUGCAAGAAAGGAAUUGUUGUUCCUAUUGUUCAGCUGAAGAAAUGGGAUGGAGACUAAGCCUCUUUCCUUGCAGAGCCAGUGCCCUCCCUGACCUCCAUCCAGGUGCUGGAGAAUUCGAUGCCUAUCACCUCCCAGUACUGUGCUCCAGGGGAUGCCUGCAGGCCUGGGAACUUCACCUACCACAUCCCUGUGAGCAGCGGCACCCCACUGCACCUCAGCCUGACUCUGCAGAUGAAUUCCUCCUCCCCCGUGUCUGUAAUGCUGUGCAGCCUAAGGUCAAAGGAGGAGCCGUGUGAGGAAGGGAGCCUUCCACAGAGUCUCCACACCCACCAGGACACCCAGGGCACCUCUCACCAGUGGCCAAUAACCAUCCUGUCCUUCCGCGAAUUCACCUACCACUUCCGGGUGGCACUGCUGGGUCAGGCCAACUGCAGUUCAGAGGCUCUCGUCCAGCCAGCCACAGACUACUACUUCCACUUCUACCGCCUGUGUAACUGAGCUGCCCUCCUGAGGCAGCACCGCACCAGGGACUGGGGUGCCCAGGCACCCCCCAAUACUGGAUGCAAUGGUGUUACACUGGAGCCUGCUGUAGGCCAGCUCUGCUGUUCACUGGCCCUACCCAAGACUGGUGAAACUGGAAGUCUUCACACUGGAGUUACUGUUCCAGCUGGUCGCCCCUCACAGCACAGAGGGAACCUGAGAGCCGGAGACUUCCUGGGCCUUCCUGCCUGCCACCCCCUAGGGGCCAGGACAGGACCAGUUUACCUCUUUCCAGAUAUGGUGGUUGGAGGGCUGGUUCAGGUACCCUGGAGGGAAGGGGAAGCCUGUGGCCCUGAUUUGUUCAGAGCCCACUCUCCCCUGCCUCCCCUUUUAAGACUGGAGCCAACCCUCUUGGAGAGAGGACCUGCCCACCUUUGAGAUCAGCAGGGGACUUGGAUCCAGCCCUAAGAGACUUGGGUGGACUCCCAUGAGUCAAUGGAGGGCAGAUGGCUCUCCCCCUUAAAGCUGUUCCCUGGGGGAUGGCUUGGUAGUAGACUUUCUGGGGUUUGCCUGUUACGCCAGACUCGGAUUUCUAAGCUUUAAGUGUGGCCCAGGAGGUUUCUUCUCCCUGGGAGAGCUUGGCUCCCAAGAAGUCCCAGGGCAGCCAAGGCCAGCCCUGGAUGGGUUGGAGAAACUGACUUUGUGCCUUAAGUCUACUCAGUGCCUGAUGAAGCCACCCUCAGCCCUUCACAGGCCUGAACCAGUAGAGGCCAGUGGGCCAGGUAAGCCCUAGAGCCUUGAACCAGGAAUAUCCGGGAAGAGGAAAUUCCCUUUUGAGCGCCCAGAUGGUGUUGCAGCUUCAUUGCCUGCAUUCCUGGGAGUGUCCAGAGCUCACAGUGAUCAGUGACCACAUCAUUCUCUCUGAGCAGAGGAGCAGGAAUCCCUCAAGCAGCAGCCUGGUCUUGGCUGGUGGGCAGAUGCAAAUAGCUUUUGCUGUUAUUAAUGAAGUAAUUACUAAAUGCACUUAAACCAGGGCAGGAAGGAGUGGAAGGAUGGAGCUAGAAAGCUCCGAGUGGGCCAGAGCAGGGGUGUGACACCUGCAAAGACAGGGCUCUGACUCUGAUCCCUCCCAGGGAGCCUCAGACACCCAUCCCACUCCCAACCACCAAGACCCUGGGUUAGGGAAGAAGUUGUAUCUUAAGUGCCAACUUCAAGUUUCUUAGUGGUGCCUGGUACAUUCUGAGGCUACAUCCAGGCUCAUGGAAGGAGUGUGGUAUUCAUUUAGCCAUGUCUGCCAUGGGUCCAGAAAUGGGAAAGGGAAUUGCUGUCCUUGCCCUGUGGUAUGCUGCCACCUCUUUGGGAAGCAGGCCUUGCCCCUGUCCCACCACUCAUUCUCAGCUUUGAAUGGGAGGCCUUUCUAUAGUGGAGCCGAGUCCUUGAAGCCUAUGAACUGCAGGCCCCCUUUUGCCACUGAUCUCAAAGCACUUGUCCUCAGGAUAGGGAACAGCAGGGGGAUGCAGGAAUAGCAGGGAUAGCCUCCUCCCAGCCCCCUCCCCAAUUUGGUUCCACGGACAUAGGAAUUUUAUGAUUCCCAUACCAUGCAGGGGCUGAGCCUUCUUUAGGAUGACUUUGUUCUCCCUCCCACUGGGGGAAUCCUCCCUCUGCCUUACAACUGCCGAGCCCCACUCCAUGUAAUAGGAUUCCUGGGCUUCCUCAAUGGGACUGCGGCCCCUCAGUCCUUAACUGGAAAGUGACCGUCCACUGCCCCCUGGAGCCCAUCUGGACACAGCACAGUCCCAAACCCGUUAGCAGCUGGCUCUGUUUCCAUGCCUGGGGAGGGGUUCCUCAGUGCAGGAGUUGGGGCCAGGCUGGGGCUCCGAGCUGCUUGAGGGGGUCAACCUUGGACCAAAGUUGCCUUAAGCCUGUGGUAAAAGGGCUUCAGGGAAGGUCAGUGGGCCACCUGCUAGAAGCUGCCAGCUGCCCGGCUGGCAAUGGUGUGUCUUGGCCCCAUCCCUGCCCUGGGGUCCAGCAGGUCAUCCCUCCCUUCUCCUCUCUCCUUUGGUGUUUGUUCCUGUAGCCACUGGGCUAAUCUCCCCCUAGCUUCAAGCUGUAUAUAGGGCCUCCCAGUGCAAAUCCUCCUGCCCAUUUUGUGCCCCCUUAGAAGCCUGCGUGUGCAUAGAGCGCCCCCUACCUCCCAGUUAACUCCCAGUUCUCCCUGAGCUUGGUAUUUAUCGUGUGCCAACUCUGACUCUGAGGUGGGCAGUGAGGGAAGCAGCCCCGGGCCUGCUUGCUUCCUGUCCCCGAAAUGUUCUUUUCUUCUGAAGUAAAUAUACAUAUAUAAAUAAAUGUAUAAAUACUGCUUUGUAUCUGA